GCUUGCCCAGUCCAACACAAGCAGUUUUUUAUUAAUUAAUAAAUUAUUCUCUCUUUCUCUGCAGAUUGAGAAUUCUUCAAAGUGGUUUACAUGCAGUUCUUAGCACAGCUGCUUGCUGGGGGUGUGUGCUCUGUGUGGGGGAUCUAUCAGCAGCCUGGCUACCUCUCUGUGAUCUUGGAGAUGAAACUGAGCUGCUGGCACAGAAGAAUACAGUUUCCUGAAAGAAAUGUCUGGACUUAACAUCCAUCCUCACACUGGAUCAGUUUAGCGUUGGCAAGAAUCCAUUUGUAAUCAAUCUGCUAACAAAAGAGUGAUAGAGUGGCUACUUUCCUUGAGUUAAAUAACUGAAACUAAGACUUAGGGAAAUUUACUUUAAAAGAAGUAUGGAAUGAAGAGUUUGGGAUUUCCUUGUACCAUCAAGAAAUCUUCUUGUUGCAGAUUCCAGCUUGAAUCCAGGCCAGGCCAACAGAGGAAGUCUUUUAGAGCUGUGGACAUCAAGGAAGACAGAGAAUCAUUUUUCCUCUCAAGAAAGGAAAGAAAGGGAAACUACUGUAGAAGGAAGAAUUACAUGGCCAGGAAGCAGGUAUUUCCCCUGCCUUUUUCCAUUGCAUGAAUGUAUUUGUGCACUGCAUAUAUGAAAAAAACCCUCCAUUUGCUGGUAGGUCGUAUCCCUUCCUUUCCAAAACCUGC
Molecule: long non-coding RNA, 690 nt
Filed under: Calidris pygmaea (Spoon-billed sandpiper)
Lineage: Eukaryota; Metazoa; Chordata; Aves; Charadriiformes; Scolopacidae
Description: lncRNA (ENSCPGG00000008650.1)
Source: RNAcentral